CCGAGUUUACAACUCCCAAACCCAAUGUGAACGUUACCAAACUGUUGCCUCGGCGGGGUCACGCCCCGGGUGCGUAAAAGCCCCGGAACCAGGCGCCCGCCGGAGGAGCCAACCAAACUCUUUCUGUAGUCCCCUCGCGGACGUAUUUCUUACAGCUCUGAGCAAAAAUUCAAAAUGAAUCA
This 182-nucleotide unclassified non-coding RNA is filed under the name soil metagenome. Its description in RNAcentral is "partial internal transcribed spacer 1". The record is from RNAcentral.